Molecule: ribosomal RNA, 229 nt
Filed under: uncultured bacterium
Lineage: Bacteria
Description: partial 16S ribosomal RNA
Rfam family: Bacterial small subunit ribosomal RNA
Source: RNAcentral
UGCGCAGGUGGGCUUGUAAGUCAGUGGUGAAAUCUUGCCGCUUAACGGUAAAAUUGCCAUUGAUACUGAAGUUCUUGAAUAUGGUUGAGGUAGGCGGAAUGUGUUGUGUAGCGGUGAAAUGCAUAGAUAUGACACAGAACGCCGAUUGCGAAGGCAGCUUACUAAGCCAUUAUUGACGCUGAGGCACGAAAGCGUGGGGAGCGAACAGGAUUAGAUACCCUGGUAGUCC